UUCCCCUCAUCCUACGUCGAGGUCUUUCUGGACUCCAACGCCAAAGAUUCGUAAAGUAUGGAAGGAGGACUCAGUGGUGCAGGGCAAACAGCAGCCAUAUGUGCGGAAAACUACAGCCUACUCUCCAUGAACCGCCCUAGAGUGAGACAGAUGAGAGACAGACACAAAACAAAGAGAGGAACAGAGGAA
This is a long non-coding RNA of Sinocyclocheilus rhinocerous, 189 nucleotides long. RefSeq lists it as uncharacterized. Lineage: Eukaryota; Metazoa; Chordata; Actinopteri; Cypriniformes; Cyprinidae. The transcript has 2 exons. The record is from RefSeq and is a predicted model, not a curated record.